CAACAAGGAGGUUGAAACAAGUGGGUCCACGGGCCUUUUGCCUUUUGGAAUCAAUUGAGGUGUUACUGUAACUGUAUGUAUACAUUGUAGCUGUGUACGCCUACAUUCGUAUAUAAGUUAAACGCAGAGAAAUUCAGUCUUUCAAGUCGAUAAUGUAGUUGUAUCUUUUCUUUUUAUAACAAUGAAUACAAACUCAACUAUAAGUUUAUGUUGUA
Molecule: long non-coding RNA, 215 nt
Organism: Nicotiana attenuata
Lineage: Eukaryota; Viridiplantae; Streptophyta; Magnoliopsida; Solanales; Solanaceae
Exons: 2
Source: RefSeq, a predicted model, not a curated record